GGGGCAAUAGGAACCAACAAUACCGAGCAAGUCCGUCUAUAAUCCUUGAAGCUGAUGGGCUUAAUGCAGGAAAGCGACCUCAAGUUAUGCAGGCCAUGCCAUUGUUCCUGCAAGGACGAUAAAUGUGAUGCAACGAAAUGCUGCUAUCUGGCAAAGUGUACCACGCAACGACCUCUCACUUGUGUGCUAGACUUGAUUCAGUGCGGCAGUUGUGAUAAUUGCAAGUGAUCACUGCAUGUACAUGAUGGAUUGGUGGAUGACAUCAUGACAAUAAAGAUUUCCGAAAAAACCUUUACCUUUUUUGAGUGGACAAACAGAUUUGACUUUCAGCAAUUGAGGGGGGUUAAAUUUUUAUGAGUAGUAGUUAGAUGUAUAUAAGCAAACCAUCAAAACGGUGUCGUCAAUAGUCAACACGCCCAACAAUUGACAAAAAAAAGUACUCCCGUGGCAUUAGGUACUCAAGUGCUUGUGUCUGCCAUUAGCUAGACAUAGCAAAAGAGCCCUGCGUUGCAAGAAAAAUAUCACAUUUAGCAUCGACAAUGCUUACUUCUUCUCAUCGUUUAUCAGGUCUCCCUUUUAUUUCUUGUUGUCAUUUAUUUCUUUUAUGACGCACAUCCCAUCUUUUGCCGGAUCUCUUCAGAUUUUUCUGCCAUGCGCCCUUUCUUUUAGGACACUGAUAUUUGCCGAAUGUCCCCCAUCAUUUCGUUGGGUAUGAGCGAUCCCUCCGCCCGAAUGAAAUCGUUCGGUACGAGCGAUCCCUCCGCCUAAACGGAUGGGGAUCCUCCUAGCCCGAACCCACAGUGCGACCAGUUUGCUCGGCUUUCUUCGGCUUGGCUACCUAGCCCAACCAAUAGCGUAUGAAUUUUACCAUGUAAAAAUGUUACAAUGAAUUAUUAUCUAAAACCCCUAUUUUUUGAUACAAAAAAAUAGAGAAACCAUACAAUACAGAAAAUCACCCAUUGAAUAAAUGGCAAAUGAAUGAAAACUUUGUAGGUCAAAGGCAAGUCUGUAGAAAACUACUUAUAUCAAGAAAAUAUGUACACAAAAAAUGGCAAUUUUUUUUGCAUAUAUGGCAAAUCACGAUUAUACUGUGAAAACUAGGAAAAGCUUAAGUUGCCGAUGAAAAGAAUAAAUUGCCAUGAUUAUGCAAAUAAAUUUGCCAUGGGUGCAUGAAAAACUAAAGUAGCCAUGGGUAUGAAAAUAAAAUUGCCAUCACUUUAAAAAUAAAUUUUCCAUGAUAGUAGGAAAAACAAAAUUUGUCAUUGUCCAUUAAGAAGCUAAAUUGCUGCGGAACUGAAAAUAAGUUGCCAUGGGUAUUAAAAUUAAAUUGCCAUGUCUUUGAAUAUAAAUAUGCCGUGGUCGAGCGAUUGAGUUUGCCAUGGCCUAAGAAAUUAAGCAAAUUCUCAUUGAUGGCAAUAUAGAAAUUUUUGUGACAUGGCAAUUUUUGAUUUAUUUUCUUUAGCCGAUGGAAAAUUCGGAAAAGAUAAAAACUACAUUGACAUGACAAUUAUUAAAAAAAAUCGUGUUAUGAACAUAGUUCAUUGAUAUCAUAAAUAAAUCUCUAAAUCAUUACAAACGAUCUAAAAACAAUUUAUAAAUCUUACAAUCUCUAAAUAUGUAAGGUGCCAUGGCAAACAAAAAAGAAAAAUUGCCAUGUGCCUCGUAUAUGAAUUUGCCAUGUGCUCAUGUUUGAAUUUGCCAUGCUACAAAACAAAAGCCUAAAGAAAGAAAAAUAUUAUGAAUGUGCCAUGUGACCAUAUGAGAAUUUGCCAUGUGAUUUUUUUAAUUUUCCAUGUUAUGAAGCCCAUAGGAAUAUUUACCAUAUCCAUGGCAAACAUGUAUACAAAUCUUAUGCAAAUAUCGAGGCAAUAAUUACCAGGUGUGAAAAACCUAGAAGGAGCGCACGAUUUGCCAUGGAAAAAAUCAUUGUUGGCUUAAUGUUGUGCCAUUACAAAAAAUAUUGAUUAAUAACUCUACUUGAAACUUUUUGAUAAAAGUGAUGGCAACUAUAUGUCUGCUAAAAAUUGUCAUGAUCCAUAAUGUGAAUUUUCCAUGUGCUCAUAUAUGAAUUUGCCAUGUGCUCAUGUAUGAAUUUGCCGUGCUACAAAACAAAAGCCUAAAGAAAGAAAAAUGUUAUGAAUGUGCCAUGCGACCAUAAGAGAAUUUUCCAUGUGAACAAAAAUUAAUUUGCCAUGUUAUGAAGCCUAUAGGAAUAUUUACCAUUAUCCAUGGCAAACAUGUAUAAAAAUCCUAUGCAAAAAUCGAGGCAAUAAUUAGCAUGUAUGAAAAAACCUAAAAGGAGCACACAAUUUGCCAUGGAAAAAGUUGGCGUUGGCUUGAUGUUGUGUCAUUACAGAAAAUAAUUGAUUAAUAAUUCUGCUUGAAACUUUUUGAUAAAAGUGAUGCCAACUAUAUGUUCGCUAAAAAUUGCCAUGCUCAAUAAAGUGAAUCUACCAUGUGCUCAUGAAUGAAUUUGCCGUGCUACGAAACAAAGGCCACAAGAAAGAAAAAUGUUAUGAAUGUGCCAUGUGACCAUAAGCCAAUUUGCCAUGUCAACAAGAAUUAAUUUGCCAUGUCAUGAACCCAAUAGGAAUAUUUACCAUUAUCAAUGGCAAACAUGUAUAAAAAUCCUAUUUGUCUCAAAAAAUGUAUCAAAUCCUAUGCAAAAUCAAGGCAAUAAUUGCCAUGUGUGAAAAACCUACAGUAGCGCACAAUUUAGCAUGCAAAAAUCGUCAUUGGCAAUGCAUAUUAAGAAAAUAUCAUGUUUUUUUAUCAAAUUUGCCAUGCUUUAUGAAGAAAAUUUGCCAAUAAUGUGAAACAAUACAAAAAAUGAGAAAACAUUGCCAUGGCAAAUGCAUGCUCAAUUUUGUCAUGGUGUUUUUUUUACCAAAAUCACCAUCGUGUGUGUAAUAUAAUUGUCGUAUAUGUGAAAAUAACACAAAAAAAUGAUCAAGAAAAUUGCCAUGGAAAAAUUCAUAAACAAAAUUGUUGUGUCUUUUUGUUAUCAAAAUUAGAAAUGAAAGAAAUUUUCCAAGAAUGUGAAGUAAUAGAAAAUGAUCAAAAAAUUGCCAUGGGAAAUGCAUGUUAUAUUUUGCCAUGGUAGUUUCACCAAAAUUGCCAUCUUUUGCAUAGCAAAAUUGUUGUGUAUGUGAAAUAACACAAACAAAACGAUCACACAAAUUGCCAUGGCAAAUGCAUAGUAAAAAUGACAUGGCACAUGAAGUAAUAAUGCCAUGGUCCAUAAAAAAUUAUAGAUUUGUCAUGUGCUAUGAACUAAAUUUGCCAUGAUAGUAACAUUGAAAUUGCCAUGGUGAACUAGAAAAUGAUGUCAAAAAUAGAACUAGCUAGCAAAAAGCAUAAUCCAUGAUUUGUAGUAUCGGGCAUGGUGAAUUGAAAAUGCCAUGGUGAAUUUUUGUUGGCAUGGGUAAAACAAUUUCAAUAUCACAUCGCAAAAAAGGAUCUCAAAGUAACCAUGGCAACUUUCUUUGAAUAUACAUGGCAAAGACACAUCAAAAAGUUGACAUCAUAGCAAACAUAUGCUUAGAAACAAAAAAAAAUAUGCUUUACUUGCUAUGAAAACACAUCAAAAGCCACAUAUGCUUUUAGUUGCCAUACAUUUGCUGAUGAAUUAACAACAAGGAUUGCACGGGAACAAAAUGACAAUCCCUGCUCUCGUGAUGGCCUCACCUACCACCCACCCUCUCGCCUCACCUACCGCGAGUAAUGGCGCCGCAAUCACCGCCAUUAAUGGCCGUGCGGGCUUAUCUAGCCCUCCUCUCCCCCUUGCCACAUCGUCUCCCUCCCCUGGCGACUACUCCUUAUCAGAUCUCACGGACCAGUUGAGCGAGAGAGAUGGUGGGGGGCUCGCGGAGGGGUGCAAGAGCGCGGCGGGCGCGUCCCAACCACCAGGCGGCGGCGCCGAUGGCCUCUCUGCCGCCGGUGCUGGUGUUGCAGUUGCCAGUGACCGAGCAGGGAUCGCCAGAGGCAUAUGUGGAGAUGGUUCGCGUGGUAGGGGAGCGAUUCCCGAACCAUGACAACUGGCUGGCGAUCCUCAUCGAGGUCAUCCAACACGCGACGUUCGAGGAGCGUGCGCGAUUCGCCGGCGACGAUGGGGGGAUGGAUUACGAGCUCAUCUUCUAGGCCAUCCAGGAGGCGGAUUUCACGGAUCCGAGGCAGGCGGCGAAGUGGGCAAGAUUCAGGACAAGGAAUCCGUCGCCGCUCAACAUUCGGCUGCCACCGGUGGUGUAGAUCGCCAACAUCCCGCCGGAGUACCUGCCGCCGGGGACUGUUCUGCCACGGGUCCCCUAAGACAUGGGGAGCCCGGCGUGCAUGCCCCGCAGGGCUUCUCCAACCUGUGGGUGCAGCAUGGGAGGAGCGAGGCGCACUUCCUCAAUCUUCCACCAUGGCCGGGCGACCGCGGGGAGAUCCCACAUCUCUGGGGUAAGGUGAGGAAAUUCAGACCCAAUUCACGUGCUCGUUUGAGAUCUGGUAGUGAUUUGGGCGUUGAAUUGAAUGUUAAGGAAGGUAUGGCUGUCCCUUGUGAGAGUAUAUGUGAAUCCACUCCUAUUUUCCCUGAAUCAGUUAGAGAUUCUUGUGAAUCUGUGAUUCCGGCGAGCCAGUCCACCGCCGACGAGCUCGCUUAUGCGGGAGGGGCGGGCUUGGUUUCAAAUCCGGUGGUCCCACAAGCAGGGCCGAAACCUCAACCACUGCCGUUGAUUUCGGGUCGUGUGGUUGGGAAGAAAACGGUCCAUAAAAAUACGCUUUCUACAUCUGCUAGCGGGGAUGGAGAGGAAGUGGCGGAUUUUUAUGGCCAACUUUUGGUGGUUCCCUCUCCCAACCGCCGCCAGCGCCUACAUAUAGAGAGGCAGUCGCCACCAAACCCUAAUUUCGCAAUCCCCAAAUUGUUUUGGGUUAGAAAGGAUCUGUUUAGGGAUAGAAAUUUCUCAGCACAAGAUUGUUUCCCGAUUCGGGCAGUGAGCAGAUUUGAUCUGACCCCUACUAUCUUUAAAAUUUCCACUGAGAAGCUAGGUUUCCCUAGAUCGUUUGUUGAAGUGAUUAAGGGAGGGAUGGAGCGAGGGCAGGGAGGGCAGCGACAACGCUGUCCGCCGUCGGGGAAGAAACCUGCGCCACCGGAGGGGAAAGCUGCGGCCCCGCCGGCCGGUGCUGCUACAAUGGCAGGUGAUGUCAAGCAGGGGCAACAACCUCCCAAGCAGGGGCAGCAACCUCCCAAGUAGGCGACGCGGGGGGUCCAGCAGCAGCAAGUGGUCGAGGCAACAGUCCAAGCUCCACCUCCUCCUCCUGUUGCUACAGUUCAAGCGUUGGAUCCAAGGUACAAGGACAUGACCUGCUUUAACUGUAGUUGGCUGAGGCACUAUGUGGGGAACUGCAUUGAACCGAAGAAAUGCUUUAUUUGCGCAGGAGGUCAUAACGUCAAUAACUGCGCUGCCUGGGUGAAACCACAUCCUACAGCGACAUACUUUGGCAGCGUAGCAGCUGGCCUGGGGUUUUAUCACAUUGAUGUUCCUACCGCGUCAGAACUAAGCUGGCUUAAUUACAAGAACUGUGCAGUUCUCAAAGUUGUUAAGGGUGAGGUUUCUGCCUCGGAGUUGCUGAUUCAGCUUAAUGGGAUUUUUUGUAAAAACAAAGAAUGGCCUUGGCAGAUUAGGGAUUUGCGAGAGAAGAAAUUAUUGCUGAGAUUUCCACCUUGGAAGAAUGUGGAAGACCUGAUUGAGUUUCCUGCUUUUGAGCUCCCAAUUGAUGGUGUUUCUAUCAAGAUCUGUGAAUGGGUGGGAAUGUUGGAUGAAUUUGGAGGACUUACUGAGGCAUGGGUUCAAAUUGAAGGGAUUCCUCCAAAGUGGUGUGCCUGGAAGGUUUUUUCCCAGAUUACAGCCUGCUUUGGGAUCCUGGUAGAUGUGGACUGGAAUGGUAUAUUUAAGAGUUUCUAUGAGAAUAUCAGAGUGAAAGUGGCUUGUAGAGAUCCCAGGAAAAUUCCUUUUGAGAUGUUAGUGGAAAUGAAAAGGAAGCUAUACAUUCUGUUCUUCACUGUUGAGGGUUUUGAGCACUUGGGGGAGGACUCUGAUGGAGAUGAUCUAGAUCCAAAUGUGGACAAUAUGGAGAAAGAGGAGGAAGAUAACAAUGAAGACAUGUCUGACAAAGAUAAAACACAAGAAGAAGAUAUGGGGGACCUAUUGAUGAACUGGAUAAGGCUAAUUUCCCUUCCAAGAACACUCUGGCUGCAAGCUCUAGUCAGUCAAACCCACAGAGAGCUGCUUCUGCUGUUGAAUUUCACCCUCCCAACAUGCUGGACACAAUUCAUGAGGAUUUUGUGGAUGAAAUUAGGAGCAAAAUGCCAGAGAAGAAGAAAUAGGCAGAUAAUGAAAAAUCCACUCCUGUAAAGACCUUUCCUUCUAGAAGAUCUGAUUCCUUGUCAGUACAUAUGGAAUAUUGCUCUGCACAAUUAAGCAAAUUUGAAAUGGUUGAGACUGAUGAGGAGGAGGAAGAAUUGGUGGAUGAAAUGCAAUGUUUACCUGAUGAUUUGGCUUUGGCAAUGGGAUCUGUCAAAAGAUCUCUGCUGGAAACUCUGGAAAGUGUGGAAUCGGUAUAGAAGAAAAAACCAAGCGUCAAAAAUUCUCCUACUUGGGGACCAGUUCUUGGUAAAUCAUUUGCUAUCCUUGACCCUGAUGUUCUUAUCUCUAACACUAGUAAAGUUGAUUUAUGCGUUGGGAGUAGCAUUGAAGAACACGUAGCUAUUGUCAUGGAUAUGAUAGAUGAGGAGAAAAAUCGUUGCCUUAAGUUUGCUGAUGAUAACUCGGAGAUUGUUCUCCCUGAGAACCUUGACUUAGAAACAGGGGUUGAUGAGAUCGAAGCUAUUAACAGUGACCUUCACAUUAAUGGUUCGGAUGGCAUUGCUGGACCGUUAAUGGAAAGUCCUAUCUUGAACACAAAAAAGAA
RNAcentral lists this long non-coding RNA (6951 nucleotides) under Triticum aestivum (bread wheat). RNAcentral describes it as "long non-coding RNA (TAES_LNC007367)". The record is from RNAcentral. Lineage: Eukaryota; Viridiplantae; Streptophyta; Magnoliopsida; Poales; Poaceae.